ACACACAGCACACAGAGUACACACACACAUACACACACAGUGUACACACAGCACACAGAGUACACACACACACACACAGCACACAGAGUACACACAGCACACACACACACACACACACAGAGUACACACAGCACACAGCACACAGAGUACACACAGCACACACACACACAGAGUACACACAGCACACAGCACACACAGCACACAGUACACAGAGCACACACAGCACACAGAGUACACACACACACACACACACACACACACACACAGCACACAGAGUACACACAGCACACACACACACAGCACACACACACACACACACACACACACACAUACACACACACACACACACACACACACACACAGUACACAGAGUACACACAGCACACAGCACACACACACACAGCACACACACACACACACACAGCACACACACACACACACACACACACACACACAGCACACAGAGUACACACAGCACACACAUACACUGCACACACACACACACACACACACACACACACACACACAGCACACAGAGUACACACAGCACACACACACACACUGCACACACACACACACACACACACACACACACACACACACACACACACACACACACACACACACACACACACACAGAGUACACCCCUGUGCAAUUUCACUGAAAUGUCAAAUGAUUCAAAACUGUAUCACCUUACAGUAAUUGCAUAAGUUGAACAGUAGGGUAUUUGCUCUUAUGUAAAAUUAAAAUCUAACGGUUUAGAUUUACUAUAUUAAAAACACAGGCCCCACAGUAGGAACUCAAUGCAAAAAAAGUCAAUACAUUUAGCUAAAGAACAUGAAAGGAACCCUGAUGAAUAUUGGGAGCACACUCUGGUCAGAUGAGACCAAGAUAAAUCUGAUUGGCUUAGUUCUGUUGAAGAGCUUAGAGAAUUAGAGAAUGCAUUGUUAAGGCUAUAAAUACCAUUGAUAAGCCGUUCUUGCCUGGGAAAUUGAAAUUGUGGCGCUUGCAGUUUGGGCUUUUGUCAAGUUUAAAGUGGCCUUUUCCUGUGUAUGGAGUUACUAUUUCAGAGGUGGAGAACUUUGAGAGAAUCAUGAAUAAGGCAGCUAAAAAUUGGCUUAGGGUGCCAUGUUGUCUAAGUACAUUAACAUUACAUGGAAAAAGGAAUUUUGAAGUUACCAAUAACCAGCUUGGUGGAGGAGUUCAAAUGUGCUAAAACCAGCCUGGAGAUGACUUUAUCGCAGUCAAGAACCCAGCAGUCAAGAACCCAGAACACUGCAGUCAAGAACAUCAAGAACCGAGCAGUCAAGAACACAGCAGUCAAGAACCCAGCAGUCAAGAACCCAGCAGUCAAGAACACUACAGUGAAGAACCCAACAGUCAAGAACACAGCAGUCAAGAACAUCAAGAACCCAGCAGUCAAGAACACUACAGUCAAGAACACUGCAGUCAAGAACCCAGCAGUCAAGCAGUCAAGAACACUGCAGUCAAGAACCCAGCAGUCAAGAACACUCCAGUCAAGAACCCAGCAGAACCGAGCAGUCAAGAACACUGCAGUCAAGAACCAAGAACCCAGCAGUCAAGAACAUCAAGAACCCAGCAGUCAAGAACAUCAAGAACCCAGCAGUCAAGAACACAGCAGAACCGAGCAGUCAAGAACCCAGCAGUCAAGAACCCAGCAGAACCCAGCAGUCAAGAACCCAGCAGUCAAGAACCCAGCAGAACCCAGCAGUCAAGAACCCAGCAGUCAAGAACCCAAGAACCCAGCAGUCAAGAACCCAGCAGUCAAGAACCCAAGAACCCAGCAGUCAAGAACACAGCAGAACCGAGCAGUCAAGAACCCAGCAGUCAAGAACCCAGCAGAACCCAGCAGUCAAGAACCCAGCAGUUAAGAACCCAGCAGUCAAGAACCCAGCAGAACCCAGCAGUCAAGAACCCAGCAGUCAAGAACCCAAGAACCCAGCAGUCAAGAACCCAGCAGAACCCAGCAGUCAAGAACCCAGCAGUCAAGAACACUGCAGAACCCAGCAGUCAAGAACCCAGCAUGCCAGUGGUUAUGGUUGAGGUGCUCACAGACUCCAGUGGUUAUGGUUGAGGUGCUCACAGACUCCAGUGGUUAUGGUUGAGUGCCAGUGGUUAUGGUUGAGGUGCUCACACACACACACUCCAGUGGUUAUGGUCGAGGUGCUCACACACACACACUCCAGUGGUUAUGGUUGAGGUGCUCACAGACUCCAGUGGUUAUGGUCGAGGUGCUCACAGACUCCAGUGGUUAAGGUGCUCACAGACUCCAGUGGUUAUGGUUGAGGUGCUCACAGACUCCAGUGGUUAUGGUUCAGGUGCUCACACACACACACUCCAGUGGUUAUGGUUAGUUUCACAGACUACAUGUUCUCCCACCACCAACCCAUUCCCUUACCCUAAACCUCCUGAGUGGGUUACCCCCCCCUACCCCCAC
Long non-coding RNA from Clupea harengus (Atlantic herring), 2459 nucleotides. The record is from Ensembl. Lineage: Eukaryota; Metazoa; Chordata; Actinopteri; Clupeiformes; Clupeidae.